This 984-nucleotide long non-coding RNA is filed under the name Jatropha curcas. RNAcentral's name for it is "long non-coding RNA (JCUR_LNC002302)". Lineage: Eukaryota; Viridiplantae; Streptophyta; Magnoliopsida; Malpighiales; Euphorbiaceae. The record is from RNAcentral.
AAAUUUUUAAUUUUAUUAAUUUGGUCAAUGGAUGUCCAUGGAAACGGAAAAAAAAAAGGAGUUUGUUUACAAAGGAUUGAAAAGAAAUUUUAUAAAAUAGCACAGAGAGCUAUAAAGAGAGGCUUUUGCACUCUUUCCGAUUUCGUGUCUGGUCGAUCUGCUCAAUCAGUUCAGCCAAAGCAAAAAUUAAGAUGAGUAAUUCCCCAUCUACUCUUUCUUCCAUUAUUGGGUCCACCACACUUUCUUCCUUCUUCUUCUUCCUUUAUUCUCUUUCUUCUCUCCUUCCUAAUCCUUCUUUCUUCUUCCUCUCUUCUUCUUUCUUUCUCUCCUUCAAUCUCCUUUCCUCUUCUUCUACUUUCUUCCACUCUUCUUCUUCUUCUCUAUAAGCUUCAUGGGCAACAUUCAUGAAAAACAUUAGACACAUGCAUCCAACGAGAAUUACCCAUGACUCUGGUUUAUGAGACAGAGCAGCAUGUGUUAUUGUUAAACGCAGAAAUAUUUCAGUGAGACAAAAAUCAGUGAAGGGAAUGAAUGAUAAUGAAUAAAAAAAGGAAGAAAGAGACAAGCAAAUCAAAAUAAAGGAAGUGUUAGCAUUUAGUUCUGUAUAAGAAAAAACACUAUAAUUCAAAACAGCAGCGAAGACAUUAACCCCAAUUUUACACAAACAAUUAUUUUUUCUUAUAAGCCAGCCAUGGUAACGUUUGGCUUUAUGAACAAAAAAAUAUUGGGUAACCAGAAAGUGGACAACCAACAGAUGUAUAAUGAAGCCAAAUAGGUAGGAUUGAUUUUCAAACAUGGUUUGACCUCUUGGGGUAUCACAGAAAGCCAAAAAUCCUAUUAAAUUGAGAGUUAAGCCAGAAAUACCAUAAGCAAAAUUUAAAUCCUUCAUUUCUUCUUUAACAUUCAUGAUCCCUGACAUCAAAAUAAAAGACCUGAUGAAAGAGGUAGGAGUUGGAGCAACUACAAAUAUUGUAAGUAUCAGAG